GACUCUGGAGAGUCCCUGAAAUGACAGGGCGCCGAAGGUGUACGGCAGUUUUGCGGACUGCUAAUCUCUCAGGCAAAAGGACAGAGCA
Molecule: non-coding RNA, 88 nt
Filed under: pig gut metagenome
Description: Glycine riboswitch
Rfam family: Glycine riboswitch aptamer
About the family: This family represents the bacterial glycine riboswitch. Glycine riboswitches usually consist of two metabolite-binding aptamers domains with similar structures in tandem.
Source: RNAcentral